AGACCCGUCUUGAAACACGGAAACCGUUCGGGGGUAAACGGACAGAGCCCGUGAAUCUGGGCGGCGGAAUUCAGGAUGGCCGGCGCGCUCUCGCGGCGCGUCGGUCGUUUGAUAUUUCCGUCGCCGAUCAACCGCAGACGUCGCGACCUGUUCGCGGUCGGUCCCUGCUCGGAGGAGCCGCGUUCGAGUUCGUUGUGUACGCGUUUCGGCGCGUUACACGGCGAAGGCGCGGAUCUCUGGCUGGCCGUCGGACAGUAUGCUUAACGGUGUCCGGUGUCGUCGUCUCGUACGCGCGUGCAUCGGUACCGGUCAGCGACGAAUUCUUCGGGCCUCUUUCC
Molecule: ribosomal RNA, 338 nt
Filed under: Diaspididae sp. CASENT0070980-D12
Lineage: Eukaryota; Metazoa; Arthropoda; Insecta; Hemiptera; Diaspididae
Description: partial 28S ribosomal RNA
Source: RNAcentral